GUUGUACUAUUCAUUAUCCGAUGUUGGUUAUAAUUUAAUCAUUGACCCUUAACCUUGAUCGGCAUAAUCUCGUGAAAAUUGAGAUGAUCGAAUGAUUGAAGGAUAACACGUGGAGUGAUUUCAUGAACAAAGGAUCUAAAUUUAGUAUUUCUAAAGAUGAUCUUUGUUUGCAGUAAGUAAGAGUUGCGGCUCUUACCUCUGAUUUAAACAUAUCCCAGAGUGUUUUUAAAUUUUUGGUUUGUUAUUUUAACAGUAUAAUGAGAUUGUAGGACUAUGUACAUGAUGUAGGCGUUUACCAUGUUUACAGUAUUUACGGAGACAAUUGGAGUAGUUAUUGUUUGCAGAACAUACAGAAUUAGUACUUGCAUUUUUUUUACAGAGGAACAUGUUAGAUGGUGAUACAUGUAUUUGACUUGCGAUGGAUUGACCAAAGAUUUUUAUAUUGUGGAUUAAAUUGGGCAUUUGAAAUAUUUCUAAUGUGUGGAUUACAAGUGAUAUCCAAAUGUUGUUUACAUGAUGUAAAAUAUGACUAUGAAUAUGUUCUACUAUUAUAAGGAUUAAAAUGGACGGAUAAUUUGUUAUAAAGCAAGGAUGUAUCAUUGAGAAGUUGUUGCGGAUAGUUAGCGAGAUAAACAGAAAAAUUGAAUUCAGAUAUAUGUGGAUUAAUGAAAUGAUAUCUAUCAGGGAUAGCUUCUUUAUAAACUUUAAAUUUGUUGGAUCUAUUUUAUUUUUAUUUCUAACAGCUAUUCUAUUUUCUAUAAACAGUUCAAAAAUAUAUUUAUUUAAUAUGUUUAUUGUAUUUUGAUUCUGUAUUAUUAGCGUCUUAAUAAAUUUGAUUAUCGA
Molecule: long non-coding RNA, 843 nt
Organism: Mytilus trossulus (common blue mussel)
Lineage: Eukaryota; Metazoa; Mollusca; Bivalvia; Mytilida; Mytilidae
Exons: 3
Source: RefSeq, a predicted model, not a curated record